GACGAACGCUGGCGGCGUGCCUAACACAUGCAAGUCGAACGGAAAGGCCCUGCUUUUGUGGGGUGCUCGAGUGGCGAACGCGUGAGUGUCACGUGAGUAACCUGCCCUUGACUUUGGGAUAACUUCAGGAAACUGGGGUUAAUAUCGGAUAGGAGCUCCUGCUGCAUGGUGUGUGUUGGAAAGUUUCGCCGUUUGGGGAUGGACUCGCGGCUUAUCAGCUUGUUGGUGGGGUGGUGGCUUACCAAGGCUUUGACGGGUAGCCGGCCUGGGAGGGUGACCGGGCACAUUGGGCCUGAGAUAGGGCCCAGACGCCAACGGGGGGCAGCGGUGGGGAAUAUUGCACGAUGGGCGGAAGCCGGAUGCAGCGACGCCGCGUGCGGGAUGACGGCCUGCGGGGUGUAAACCGCUUUCGCCUGUAACGAAGCGUGAGUGACGGUAAUGAGUAAAGAAGCACCGGCUAACUACGUG
Molecule: ribosomal RNA, 468 nt
Filed under: uncultured bacterium
Lineage: Bacteria
Description: partial 16S ribosomal RNA
Rfam family: Bacterial small subunit ribosomal RNA
Source: RNAcentral